UGUUUACAUAUUAGCUGAUACUAUGGUGGACUUUCUAUUAAGAUGAGGUUGUCAUUAACCAGAAUAAACAGCAAAAUUUAUCGGUGCCGAACCCUGUCGCUGCUGCAGUGACGUCACGAGUCACGUGACUCUCGGCACAUCAAGUUCGAGGGGGAAAACAAACGAGGCGGCGGCGGCGGCGGCGGACCCCUCAAACACUGAAGAGGAAGCACCGGCGGCCUUACUCUUACUACAAGUCUUUGACUGUUACUGCUGGUGUAGUGGCAAUCCAGAGGACAGUUGAGAGGAAUGAAGAAAGGCAGAAGUUAUACCGUUUCUAGGCACUCACCCUGCCCAGCCCAGCCCACCCCAGCCCACCCCACCAUCACCACUACUGCUACCAAUUGCUCUCUGCAUGUCUGACUUCUUCCAUUACUUGGCAGAUGAGUUUUGGUGGUGUGAAUUAUGCUGUGUGUUCAGUGUGUAUUUUCGUUGUGCUUGCAUGGUUGUGAUGCAGGGUAGCAAUGUAUCGGAUAUCUGCCUCCGCCACCUUCUCUGUGGAGUCUCCGCUGUGAAAUUAAUAUCUGCAUUACAAUCUGCAUCUGUAUUUUCAGACAACAAAAGCUCCACAUCAU
Eriocheir sinensis (Chinese mitten crab) is the source of this 614-nucleotide long non-coding RNA. RefSeq lists it as uncharacterized. NCBI's taxonomy places the organism in Eukaryota, Metazoa, Arthropoda, Malacostraca, Decapoda, Varunidae. The transcript is spliced from 2 exons. The record is from RefSeq and is a predicted model, not a curated record.